CCUACGGGAGGCAGCAGUGAGGAAUAUUGGUCAAUGGGCGCGAGCCUGAACCAGCCAAGUCGCGUGAAGGAUGAAUGUCCUACGUAUUGUAAACUUCUUUUAUCAAGGAAUAAAGUGAGACCCGUGUACCUUUUUGUAUGUACCCUAUGAAUAAGGAUCGGCUAACUCCGUGCCAGCAUCCGCGGUAAUACUGAGGAUACGAGCGUUAUCCGGGUUUAUUUGGUUUAAAGGGUGCGGAGGGGGGUAGUUAAGUCAUGUGUAAAAUUUUGGGGCUCAAACCCAAAAUGGCAGUUGAAAAUGGUUGUCUUGAGUAGAGUUGAGGUAGGCGGAAUUCGUGGUGUAGCGGUGAAAUGCUGAGAUAUCACGAAGAACUCCGAUUGCGAAGGCAGCCUACUAAAUUGCUACUGACAUUGAGGCACGAAAGUGUGGGGAUCAAACAGGAUUAGAUACCCGGGUAGUC
RNAcentral lists this ribosomal RNA (460 nucleotides) under uncultured bacterium. RNAcentral's name for it is "partial 16S ribosomal RNA". It matches the Rfam family "Bacterial small subunit ribosomal RNA", at positions 338 to 795 of the family's 1533-position model. The record is from RNAcentral.